Homarus americanus (American lobster) is the source of this 2212-nucleotide long non-coding RNA. RefSeq lists it as uncharacterized. NCBI's taxonomy places the organism in Eukaryota, Metazoa, Arthropoda, Malacostraca, Decapoda, Nephropidae. The transcript has 3 exons. The record is from RefSeq and is a predicted model, not a curated record.
UGGAGGGAUAGCAAGUCAGUGCCUUCACAUCACCACCACGAUGAACAGACUCGUGAUUGGUGUGGUGUUCGUGUCCCUGCUCGUGGCCGCGGCUUUGGCUAGCCCUAGGCCUUACCCUGGUUUCUUCUUUGGCGGUAAAAAAGGAGGUGGAUUUGGUGGGAAAUGUUGUAAAGGUGGGGGAGGCGGUGGGUAUGGUGGCGGUGGUGGUGGAUACGGGGGCGGUGGACACGGCGGAGGCGGUGGACACGGUGGUGGUGGAUACGGAGGCGGUGGACACGGCGGAGGUGGUGGACACGGCGGUGGUGGAUACGGAGGGGGUGGACACGGCGGAGGUGGUGGACACGGCGGUGGUGGAUACGGAGGCGGUGGACACGGCGGUGGCGGAGGAGGCGGCUAUGGCGGUGGUGGUGGCGGCUAUGGUGGUGGUGGUGGAUGUUGUGGUGGCGGCGGUGGCGGAUAUCACUAAGAUCAACCCUGUAAGAAAAUUGCCCUCUCGGAUGUCUUAUGAAAAAAAAGAAUAUAAUUAUUUUGUAUUUUAUUCCAAUAAAAUCUACUAGUCCUUUUGUUUAUCUAUUUUCACUUUUAUUAAUCUAUUACUUAAUUAGAACAGCAUUGGUGCUUAUUAGCUUAUUUGUGUGUUUAGAUCGUUGAGUUUAUAUGAUAAUUUGUGGCUUUGUGUGUUUUUUCGCUUAUCUACGAUUAUUUAUUUAUUUCUCGUGGUAACAUGGAAACAAAUGCUCCACCGCCUACUACCAUGUUUAUCUCUUUCAAGACACGCUCACCGACCUUGAUAAGCCUGGCAAGUUAUUUUCUUUGGUUGUGUAUGAUUUUGCAAAAGGCUUCGACCUUAUAGACCACUCAGUUGUUAUCCAGAGUCUCUUCGUAUUAAGACUGCAAUCCACACUUCUCCGCUGGUCGCAGAGUCCAAGGCCCUUUUAGGAAGCUUAGUGAGUGGAGCAGAACAAUAAGUGUUGCACCUCAGGGUGCUCUAUGUGGGCCCAUCGCCUUGCUGCAAGAGACUCCCACAGACGCCUCAAGUACGUCGACGAUCUUACCAUCUAUGAGUCAGCACCACCAGCACCCUAGGCCUCAGAAAGCGACAUAUUUACCAACAAGAAACCCCUAAUCUACCGGGAUCUAACGAUAACCGAUACCAGCAUCCCGGCAGUGGAGUCACCAUCAUCAACAACCUUUCAUGACAAGACUACGUUAACAAUAUCACCACAAGAGCAGCCAAGUUUCUUCACAUUCUUUACACCCUCAGAAAAGUUAAUGCUCCACCACAACUGAUCAGAGCAUACGUCAUGUACAUCCGACCCAUCCUGGAACACUGCUGCCCACUCCUCCUCGCCGGGCUCAUACUACAGCAGGUGAAGCAGACAGAAGGAAUUCAACGUCGGGGUUAUGAUAAUAGCAGUGAGAUGGAACACUAGGUAUCAAAACGCCCUUGAUAUGUUCGAACCGACUACAUUGGGACAGAAGUACGAGGAUCUGUGCCUGAAGUUCGAUCAUGGUCUACUGGAAGAGCCACGCCAUUAUGACCUACUGCAGCCACGGAGGCAAGAGGUCAGUGCCACGGUAACACGGGGCUCAGAUCAUGUUGAAAACUUAUGCUGUGGCACCAGAUUCAGGAAAUCGUGUAUCCUAUGUAGUGUAUCCAAACUUAAUUCACUUUAUUUAUGACUAAAACUUCAUCUUUGUAAUAUUUUAAUUCAUGUACCCAGAAACUUAACCUUUAUGUAUUUAUCAUUUGGUGGAGAUUUUAACCUUAACUUGUAUUAUUGUGGUGAUCUUAUACAACAUUUAUGUACACAUGUUUCUUAUACACUUUACGUAGCCAUGUAAUGUUUAUCAAUCUUUCUCUCUUUUUCUAUCAUUAAUUAUCUAUAUUUACCUAUAAUUAUCUUUCUCUAUAGUUGUAUAUUUUUUUAUUUCUUUAUACAUCCAUUUCCGUUCUUUCUUUAUUUAUAUUCCUUUUAGCUAUUCAUCUCUCUCUCUUACUCUUUCUUACUCCAUCUUUCCUUUAUUUCUAUCUACUUAUUCUUCUCGCUUUCUCUCUUUAUCAAUCAUUUUAUCAUCCUCUUCCUCUCUACCUAUAUUGAUCUUCUCUGUUUCCUCCUCUCUCCCGUUACUACACACAUUCCUCCGCCUUGCAUAUCAAAUUAAGUUCCACCAGUUAUUGUAUUAUCUGUCCAAUAAAUUAUUUCAAUUC